This 435-nucleotide ribosomal RNA is filed under the name uncultured bacterium. RNAcentral describes it as "bacterial SSU rRNA". It matches the Rfam family "Bacterial small subunit ribosomal RNA", at positions 398 to 829 of the family's 1533-position model. The record is from RNAcentral.
CGCGUGCAGGAAGAAGGCUUCGGGUUGUAAACUGCUUUUGUCAGGGAAGAAAUCUUCUGGGCUAAUACCCCGGGAGGAUGACGGUACCUGAAGAAUAAGCACCGGCUAACUACGUGCCAGCAGCCGCGGUAAUACGUAGGGUGCGAGCGUUAAUCGGAAUUACUGGGCGUAAAGCGUGCGCAGGCGGCUUUGCAAGACAGAUGUGAAAUCCCCGGGCUCAACCUGGGAACUGCAUUUGUGACUGCAAGGCUAGAGUACGGCAGAGGGGGAUGGAAUUCCGCGUGUAGCAGUGAAAUGCGUAGAUAUGCGGAGGAACACCAAUGGCGAAGCAAUCCCCUGGGCCUGUACUGACGCUCAUGCACGAAAGCGUGGGGACAAACAGGAUUAGAUACCCUGGUAGUCCACGCCCUAAACGAUGUCACUGGUUGUUGGACG